ACGACGCCGUUUUGGUGGCCACUGAUUCAGGCCCCAAACGACGCCGUUUCAACACCCCAAAAAAACCAAUUUUAAAACCCUAAACAAGGUUAUUCGGCCACUAAAAAAACAGCAGAAAAAAAACUUUGCCUUUCCCCUCUCCCCUCGCGCCGUUCUCAGGCUAAAACCAUACCUAGCCUCUCUGGUAUCCACGAAACCGAUGAGAACGACGACAGGGUCACCGAGGUACGGCCGUACGGUGUCAGGGACGUGGCUAGGUGUAUGUGGGGAGAGGCGUUGGAAGCGUGGUUCGUGGGGCAUGUGCGAGGGCUUGGCUGCGGCGCCUGGUACCUCUGAAACUGUUUAGGGUUUCUGCAAAAUGAAAAAAUCUGGGCUGGUUUUGGCUAUUGGGCUAGCUGUAAUUUGGGUUUGUACUGGGCCAUUUAUAAAUGGGCUCGAUUUAUAUUUUGGGUCUGAUAGAUUUUUGUAAUUUUGGACUUUGGACUUUUUAAAUUUUGAUUUGGUUUAUUUAUUA
Long non-coding RNA from Gossypium raimondii (Peruvian cotton), 514 nucleotides. RefSeq lists it as uncharacterized. The record is from RefSeq and is a predicted model, not a curated record. The transcript is spliced from 2 exons. NCBI's taxonomy places the organism in Eukaryota, Viridiplantae, Streptophyta, Magnoliopsida, Malvales, Malvaceae.